GGUGAAUUGGAAACUCGCAGUGCCAGGAAGUGCUUCCACAGGCUUAAUGCAUCUCUGCUCCUCUUUUUUCAUAAAAAUUCAAACAGUGUUUAGACGGGGGAUGCUGAGAGAGAAGCCGGUUUGCUGGGAGGUGCGAGCCCAGAGCACACGCUCCACCUAGACUGCGGGCAGUGCCCCACCAUGAGGAGCUCAGCAGUUUCUUCACGUGGUGUUUUCCACCAUGCAAAAACAUCCAAGAU
RNAcentral lists this long non-coding RNA (239 nucleotides) under Homo sapiens (human). RNAcentral describes it as "HSALNT0123086". Lineage: Eukaryota; Metazoa; Chordata; Mammalia; Primates; Hominidae. The record is from RNAcentral.